AAGGAUUGUACAUACGCAAAUAAAGUCAAAUUACGCAUUUGAAGAUUGUACAUAAGCAAAAAAAGCAACCUUCUACCGUAUCUAAGGAUGCUAUUGAGCAAUACGACUCUCUUCCAUAUCAAAAGUUGUGUACCAACAAGGAGGAUGCCCCACCACAGAUCAAAGAAUGUACAUAAACAAAGCAAUACUCCAUCAUAUCGGAGAAUC
This 207-nucleotide long non-coding RNA is filed under the name Capsicum annuum. Its description in RNAcentral is "long non-coding RNA (CANN_LNC010636)". Lineage: Eukaryota; Viridiplantae; Streptophyta; Magnoliopsida; Solanales; Solanaceae. The record is from RNAcentral.